Molecule: long non-coding RNA, 909 nt
Filed under: Physcomitrium patens
Lineage: Eukaryota; Viridiplantae; Streptophyta; Bryopsida; Funariales; Funariaceae
Description: long non-coding RNA (PPAT_LNC014501)
Source: RNAcentral
ACAUCUCAUGGUCUCUAUUAUAGCAAGACAAAUUUUUUUUCCUCUAUUUUUUCAUCUUUGGCAGUUGUACUCUUUAUUUUGUAGUUGCAUCAUUUACUUGGACAAUGUUGAGAAUUGUGCUUAGCUUCUCUACAAUAUAAACAUAAUCCUUUUGGACAAAUGUAGAAUAGAUAUUAAUUCAUUUUUGAAAGAUAUUGAUAAAAUAUACUAAUAGUCCUUAGAAUAGGCAAUUCAAGAGGACGGAUGAUUGAUUUAUUUAUUAAAAGCGAUUAAUAACAGAAUUACGAUUAGAAUUUGGAAAAUCAAGAGAAAGUAUAAUGGAAUUGUAGAAGUUAGUUUAAAGACCAGACUGUAAUAGUCAUGAGCUAAGGUAAGCUUGGUGCUACUUCUUUGUUUUUUUGUUGUUGAAGAAUAAUGAAUGGUUUUUGAAUACUAAGAAGUGAGUUUGUAGAAUAAAUCACAGAUUAAUUUAUAAGUUAUUGAUUAUGUAAUUGGAAUACUAUGUGAUUGAAUUAUAUGAGAAUUUAUUGAAAGAUUGAUUAUGGAUGGAAGAUUAUGAUUGUUGUUUAUUGAAAGUUGUGUGUGUUUUGAUAGAGGAAGUCUGUGAUUACAAAAAUUGUGUGAAUCUAGAUUGGUUGGAGUGAAGUCUACUAUUUAUGGUAUUGGAUGGAAUUUAUGUAUUUUGAGCAGUCUUUUGAGAGUACAUGGUUUCAAUAUGUUGUUAUUAGUUGAUGAAGGAAUAUUGUCACUAGGAGAAAGCCUUGUAGUAUUUUUUGGUGUUUUCAAUAGUUCAGAAUACGGUUAAUUAUAUGACCCUAAUAAGUAGAACUCAUGCACUUAGUCUUUCUCUACAUUCGAAUCCUCCUCUAUAGGUUUAUUUUGAAAGGAAUUUGUAGAAUAAGUAAAAUG